UUUCCGUAGGUGAACCUGCGGAAGGAUCAUUCAUAAUAAGUGUUUAUGGCACUUUUUUAAAUCCAUAUCCACCUUGUGUGCAAUGUCAGGGUUGAUUUUUCUCUCGAGAGGAUCAGCCCCAAACAUCAACUAUAUCUCAACUCUUUGUCUGAAAAAUAUUAUGAAUAAAACAAUUCAAAAUACAACUUUCAACAACGGAUCUCUUGGCUCUC
This 212-nucleotide unclassified non-coding RNA is filed under the name plant metagenome. RNAcentral describes it as "partial contains small subunit ribosomal RNA, internal transcribed spacer 1, and 5.8S ribosomal RNA". The record is from RNAcentral.